Vitis riparia (riverbank grape) is the source of this 1256-nucleotide long non-coding RNA. RefSeq lists it as uncharacterized. The record is from RefSeq and is a predicted model, not a curated record. NCBI's taxonomy places the organism in Eukaryota, Viridiplantae, Streptophyta, Magnoliopsida, Vitales, Vitaceae. The transcript is spliced from 3 exons.
AUUUCUUUCCCGCCACACUACCCAAAUUAAAGCGAUGCACGCAGCUUGCCAUAAAACAAUCCCUCUCUUAGAAAAUCCAAAACUGUUAAAAUUGGUAGACAAUAUGUCAGAGAUGCUCCUUGGGGGGGACCCAAUCUGUCUUGGCUAACUGAAAUAAUUUGUGCCACAACCCCAUCGUCAAAGAACAAUGGAGAAAAAGAUGAUAUACUGAUUUUCCAUGUUUCAUGCACAACUUACAAAUGUCAAGACUAAGUGCUUUGUAGGGUCUUCUCGACUGUAUCAAGUCAUUAGUAUUUACCUUCUCUAUGGGUAUAAUAUUAUGAGAGUUAGACAGACAUGCAUUGCUUUAUUUGCAACUAUGAUCAGUAGCUACUUUACCUAGUUUUGUCUAUGGCAGGCAUCUUGUUGCCAAGUAUGUGUUGUCAGUUUUUAUUUACAAUUAGCAGGUACAGGCUGGUUUGCCAGAUUACCAGGCAGAUUUAGAAGCUGAGGAUGGAAGUAUCAAAGCAUGCUCAAGAAUAAUUUAAUUGUUAAGAACCAGUAGUGAGUUGAAGUUGAUAAAAAGAUUGAUGCUAAUAGUGCUACAGUUGCUGGGGAGUGGCCAGCAGGCCUGUAUUGAACUCAUCUUGGUAAUAUGUGAGAUUUUCUUGGUGUACAGAGUGUCAACCACUGCUGAUUCCUCUCAAGAUUGGGUGCACAUAUCCCAUGGUUUAUGAGGUAGACUGCAGGUUGACAGUGUAAACUGGAAAUGCUUGCCCUUGUCAGAAUGGAUAUAUUGCAGCAUACUUACCAAAACCCAGGUUAAGACUGAUACAGCAUGCUUGCACAAUCUAGGCCAUUGCUGGGUGCCUGACUCAAGGAGCAACAUUGAAAUGGACUUGUACCCCAGAAAGAGCAAUGGAAGCAACUUUUUUAGGACUUGCUGCUGGGGCAUCUGAGGCUUCCUUGUGAUUGCUUUGCAUUGAUUGGCAGAAGUAGUGGAGUAGGGUGUGUCCCAUGGUUGAAGAUAUAUGCUAUGGAGGAAAGAAAGAAACACUGGAAAACAGCGGGUGUAGUGAAUUUGAUCACAAUUUAUGUCAUAGAUGCAUAUUCAUGUUGGUUGUACUUGGUCUUGUUUCAUUUCUUCUACUGCAUGUUACUAGAAAGUAAGGAGUUAAAAGUUUGUUAUUGUACAAGUGUGUUUGUGUUGGUAUUGUAGAAUAAAUUCCAAUGAAUGUCUUAUUAAGUUAUGAUCCACUAGUUAAAACCUUAAGUUA